UGCUUUCCUCUGAGAGUCGACUCGUACUUAACUAGGAGUCGACUCGCCAAACGUCGGAGUCGACUCGUAACCUUCUAGAGUUGACUCGGUUGCAGGGUCUGAAAUACAUUGUUCUGUCUUUCUUCUGUUACCCUUUGGAGUCGACUCGAAAACGUCGGGAGUCGACUCGGCAACCAUCGGAGUCGACUCGAACCCUUCUGGAGUCGACUCGCUGACAGGGUCUGAAAAUCAACUUUCUGUCUUUCUGUCAGUUCUCAGUCGGAGUCGACUCGUAGUGUACCGGAGUCGACUCGAGCAUGUGCCAGA
RNAcentral lists this long non-coding RNA (306 nucleotides) under Phoenix dactylifera (date palm). RNAcentral's name for it is "long non-coding RNA (PDAC_LNC015424)". The record is from RNAcentral. Lineage: Eukaryota; Viridiplantae; Streptophyta; Magnoliopsida; Arecales; Arecaceae.